CUGCCAGUAGUCAUAUGCUUCGUUCAAGGACUAAGCCAUGCAUGUCUCAGCGUACAUGGCAUCCAACAGUGGGUCUGUGAAUGGCUCCUUACAUCAGCAGUCAUCUCCAUGAUAGAGUGUGGAUGGCACCACUCUUGCCAGGUGCCCCCUUGGACAUCCUCCAAAACCUAGUGGCUAAUACACGGUUGCCCCGGUCUCUCACAGCACGGUCCUGUCAGUAGUCCAUCUCCACCUCUGCCUGACCGGCGAGUGGAUGGCACCCAGCCGCUAUGAAGACUAGCGCCUGGAAAAUGGCAGCGUGUAGUGGUUGACUCAGGCUGGUCCUAUACAAGAAGCCCUUUCAUCCCGCUAUUGAUGUGCCCUUGGUCCCUGCUCCCAUCAGUGGGGUUUCAACCUGGGUGCAGUGUGGACAAAUGCGCUGGCAGAGUGGUGGUCCUUUGUGGCCACAGCAUUGCUUGAUCACACGAACUUCUGACCUAUCAGCCUUGAUGGUGUGGUAGUGGCCCACCAUGGCAGUGACGGGUAACGGAGAAUCAGGGUUCGAUUCCGGAGAGGGAGCCUGAGAGAUGGCUACCACUUCUAAGGAGGGCAGCAGGCACGCAAAUUGCCCAAUGCUCAGACGUUUCAUGGUGAGGCAGCGACGAACUGCAGCAAUGUGGCCUGUCCCCCGAGACUGGCCACACUUGUAAUGGAUGCAAUCCAAACACAGUGAUGAGUAUCAACUGGAGGGCAAGUCUGGUGCCAGCAGCUGCGGUAAUUCCAGCUCCAAGCGCGUAUACUAACAUUGCUGCUGUUAAAACACUUGUAGUCCGUUGCUGGGUUGCAGGUCUGCUGGGUGGCGGUGGCCUGGUGGUUGGGGUCCGUGCGCUGUGCAGUGCUCUCUGGGUGCUGUCAGUGCAUUGUUUGCCCAGCUGCCAGUGUCCAUCGAUACAACCCCUGGCAGUAUGUCCCUGCACCCGUUCUGUGCAUGGAUGGUGAGAAUUGCUCCUGCUCCAAGUCCCCUUCAGUGGGGAUCGAUGCGGUUUCAUACCCAACGCUUGUGUGUCUGACAUCAACGGAGGACGUGGCCUCAGUGCUGCGUAUUCCCCUCCUAGUCCACCACUGGAGUCCACCAUCACUUGUCACCGUGGAAAACUCAGUGUGCCCAACGCAUCCACUCUUGGCAGGAUGCCCGUCCAUGGAAUGUCAGAGCAUCGACCAGCUAUGUUUGGCUUCAGAGUUGUGCUGGGUCUUGGUGCCCAUGCUGGGGAACGUGGCAUUGGCCAUGGUCAUGCAGACACUGUGCUGGUAUAUGUGUACUGCCUGUGGUCGUACCAUGCAACAAACCUCUGCUUCAUGCAGAGGGCAUGUGUGCUACAUGGGACAGUGCUCUGUGCCAGUCACAGUGCAUCUCCACCUGCAUGGCCUGACCUUUGUCGAUCGUCCAUGAGGGAGCUGCUAUUCGGGGUGGAAGAUAUUGCAACGCCAGAGGUGAAAUUCUUAGACCGCUGCAAGAUCAACUGCAGCGAAGGCGUUCUGCAAGUGCAUGCUCGUCGAUCAAGAAUGAGAGUGUGGGGAGCGAAGAUGAUCAGACACCGUCGUAGUCCACAACUGUAAACCAUGCCAGCUCGGUGUUGGCAGUGCAAGCUACAUGGAACACUGCCAGCACCACUCCCCCUACCACGAGAAAUCCAAGCCUUUGGGUUCAGGGGGGAGUACUGUCGCAAGGCUGAAACUUAAAGGAAUUGACGGAAUGGCACCACAAGGCGUGGAGUAUGCGGCUUAAUUUGACUCAACACGGGGAAUGUUACCAGGUCAGGACGUUGCAGGGAUGGACAGAUUGAGAGCUCUUUCUUGAUCCUUCGGAUGGUGGUGCAUGGCCGCUCCUGAUUGGUGGAGUGAUUUGUCUGGUUGAUUCCGAUAACGAGUGAGACAUCUGCCUCCCAAUAGCCCCAGCCUCGCACAUGGUAGGGUUGGGCUGUGGUGACUUGCCGUGGGCCUUGGCUCCCACAGUGCAGGUGCCUCUCAGUCCUCGUGGCUGUCUGGUGUCCUGUUGCUGUGUGGUUGUCUUUGGUCUCUUGGCCACUGCAGUCCUCCUGAGAGGCUUGUAUGGAUUCAGCUUCUCUGAGGUGCUGUGUACGCUGCCAAGUGCAUGCAUGCUAGAGCCAACAGCAGGUCUGUGAUGCUCCCAGAUGUCCUGGGCCGCACGCGCACUACAUUGGCCCGGUGAAUGUGUUGUUACUCUCUCCCUUGUGGAGACCUGCCUGGAAGUGGGUGGGAAACCCCUGAAGACCGUUCUGUGUCCUCUCAUGGUGCUUCUGUGGCCGUACUGGGGAUAGAUGAUUGCAACUGUCUGCCUUGAACGAGGAAUGCCUAGUAGGCGUGGGUCAUCAGCCCACACCGAUUGUGUCCCUGCCAUUUGUACACACCGCCCGUCGUUGCUACCGAUGGUAGCAGGAUAGAGCCAUCCAGAGGCCCUUGGCUACUCUCUGAGUAACUGGGCUGAAAUUGGGCAAUGUCCUGCUGCUAGAGGAAGCAA
RNAcentral lists this ribosomal RNA (2518 nucleotides) under Lepocinclis fusca. RNAcentral describes it as "SSU rRNA". The stretch from base 302 to 2518 matches the Rfam family "Eukaryotic small subunit ribosomal RNA". The record is from RNAcentral. Lineage: Eukaryota; Euglenozoa; Euglenophyceae; Euglenales; Phacaceae.